UACGGAGGGAGCUAGCGUUGUUCGGAAUUACUGGGCGUAAAGCGCACGUAGGCGGCUUUGUAAGUUAGAGGUGAAAGCCCGGGGCUCAACUCCGGAACUGCCUUUAAGACUGCAUCGCUUGAAUCCAGGAGAGGUGAGUGGAAUUCCGAGUGUAGAGGUGAAAUUCGUAGAUAUACGGAAGAACACCAGUGGCGAAGGCGGCUCACUGGACUGGUAUUGACGCUGAGGUGCGAAAGCGUGGGGAGCAAACAGG
RNAcentral lists this ribosomal RNA (253 nucleotides) under uncultured bacterium. RNAcentral's name for it is "partial 16S ribosomal RNA". It matches the Rfam family "Bacterial small subunit ribosomal RNA", at positions 524 to 776 of the family's 1533-position model. The record is from RNAcentral.